Jatropha curcas is the source of this 408-nucleotide non-coding RNA. The record is from RefSeq and is a predicted model, not a curated record. Lineage: Eukaryota; Viridiplantae; Streptophyta; Magnoliopsida; Malpighiales; Euphorbiaceae.
AACCAAAAUGAACUAUUCAGACAAAAGUUAUUAGCUUUUAUUAGGAAAAUGGCUUGAGAUUCACAUUUUUAUCUGUUGUCUUUUACGAACUAGGACACCUGAGGGUCUGCUUAAGAUAUGACAAUGACCAGACCAUCUCAGAUGUCUUUAUUUCAUUUUAUCUCCGACUUGUGCUACUCGUAAUAUAGUUUUUAAGGGCCUAAAACUGAUUUUGGAAAAAACUUCACCAGUUUUAGGCCCAUAAACUGUUGAAAUCUUUAUAAUUAAAGUCAAUAUUGUCUUUCCUAGUUUAGGUUUAUUGUCUUUCCUAAUUUAGGUUUAUUCCUAUUUAGAUUUCUUCCUAUAUUGGAACAAUCUUGUGUAUAUAUAUAGUGGUGUAGAGAUUGAAAAUAUAACACAUAAUAAAAA